GUUCACCUUCAUCUCAGAAAAAACUUUCUCUCUGAAAUCUUGACCUUCUAUGCUAACUAUCUCCAUUUGCCGUUGUCGAUGGUCCUAAAAGCUCUGCCACGAAAAGUAUGUCUUCCUUUGUUGUAUUACAGUUAACAAUAUGACACUGGCACUGACACUAAAUCAGGUUUUCGAUAUCCAUCAUUAGCACCCAUAAAUAUGAAUGCAAUAUCUCCUCAAACCCUAAACUUCCCUUCCUCCAAACUCAAUCAGGUUUUCUAAUUUUUCUUCUUCUUUUGAGUAUGUCGUCGUUUCAAUUUCGCAAGCUGAAACGAGUUUAACACAGACAUGAAUUUGGAAACACAUAAGCACAGAGAGAAAAUUGCUUUUUGCUGAUUCAGCCCCAACAAAUGUGUUUUGAUGGCAACCAUUGUAAGGGCGGAAUAUUGGAGGUUCAUGUUUGAGUGCAAAAUGAAGUUUAUACUUGGUCCAGCUUUUCAUAUAAGAAUGUUCUCCUAGCUAACAUAGCUGAAUCUAAGAAACAAACAGAAAUGGCUGCGAGAGUUUCAACACGGAAGCAAAGAAUUCAACAAAACUUAGAAGAAUCGGUGAAUUUAUCUUUUAGAUGUGGUAUACUUUAAUAUCGUUUGAAUUCUGAGACUACGGUGAAAUACUACUUGAGAAACUAUCCCUUGAAGAAAGCAGUGGCAGUGUCUUGCCCUUUUCUGAUUUGGUCAAGGGACAUGGAGUGUAGAAUGGAACAGGACGUUUCUGAAAAGGAAUAAAGCAUGAAGAGUAUUAUUUUACCAUCAUAAAUUUUUUUUGACUUAUGCAGGCCGGAAAAGGAAUUUGUUAUCAAUCACUGACAAGUUAAUUUUUGAUCUUUUGUUUUGUUUUUAAGGUGAUCAACUUGCCAUAGCAAAGAAGAUUGAGAUGAGAAUUGGGAUGGAAACUAAUAUGUACUCAUCAGCUACCUUGCUUGGUCAAGACAGGAACUUUCAAGAGUUACUCAUUAGGUUUCUUUGCAGCAAA
Vicia villosa (hairy vetch) is the source of this 1011-nucleotide long non-coding RNA. RefSeq lists it as uncharacterized. The transcript is spliced from 4 exons. The record is from RefSeq and is a predicted model, not a curated record. NCBI's taxonomy places the organism in Eukaryota, Viridiplantae, Streptophyta, Magnoliopsida, Fabales, Fabaceae.